CUGACUGAAUGGAAAUUUGUGUUGCUAUGAUUUUUUUUUUUUUCAUCUCAAAAGAAAAUUUAAUACAAAAUCAACUUUGUGCGGCAUGAACAUCUGUUGUUUCAUAUAUCCAUAUAAAAUAAUAAUUUAGAUUCAGAUCAUAAGAACUUGUAUAUCCUUUGACAUAUGUGAUAAAGAUGUCUCGAGUCUUGACAUAAGAUAUUCUAUGUUUACCUAAACUAAGUAUUGGCUGAGUGAGAUGGUACUUCUUGUUGUCAAUUACUUUCAGCCAAUCGAGUUUGUGGCACUAGUUUACUAGUAUCCUUUUUUUAUUUGGACAUAAGCUUUCUACACAUCUAUAUUAGUUGGAGUAGGCUACGGUAGCAAACAUGGAUGCAUGUCGAGGCGUUAGAAUAGCCAUAAACUUUUAUAUCUAGGUUGCGUGCGUGUGAAUAGAAUAUCAUAUGCAGGUAAUAGGAUAUAUACAACUAAUACUCAUAAUUAAUGUGUAUAUACCUGUCUGGCCUCUUGACGAAAAUAAUGAACAUUCCUUUGGUUUUAAGGAUGGAUGCCAUUAUUGUAUACAUUUGACUAGCAUUUACCCAGGAGUUCAUGUAUUGAACUAAUUUUUGAAAUCGAUUUUUUGCUUUCCUUCCGUAUGAUAUGAUCUAUCAUUUUGUGGGAUUACACUGAAUAUGUUGUUGUUAUUGUUACGAUGAAAAUAGUACAUUAUCAACACUUGCCCUCUGAACAACGGGAAUGCUACAUUAAUACAGAUAUUUUUGAAGUUGGCAUUCAAGCGACAGAACAAGUAAUGGUUAUCAGAACUAGACAUUGACAUCAGAACUAGACAAAGACAGUAAUAUUUUUUCCUGUGUAGUUAGGCGUUUCAGUUGAGAUUCCCUUCUAGUCGAGGAAAAAAUAUUUCUUCCCUAAUUACUUAAUGUUAUGUGAAGUGGGAUUGAGGAAGUGUCAAGGAACUGAGAGAGAACAUUAUUGCUUCUACUUGCAUUCUAGGGGGAAUGCAGGUCAAAGUGGCCAUAUGAACACCUGGAGGAUAUUUCCUAGUCUCUUAUUCCUCAAUUUUAGCAGAGAAGAAACUCCGAACCUUGCCAACUAAAAGAAAACAUCUUUAGAAGAAAAUUCUGAUGGUUCGAUGUCAGCUUGCCGCUAUUAGGGAAGAGGUCAUCUUGUGUUUCCUCACAAACCAUUCUGUAAUCCAUCGACAUAGCCGGAGUCGCAGUAAAGAAAGAAGUUCUUGCAGAUAUCGUUGACGUUCAAGAUAUCACUCACAGUCAUGCACUCGCUCUCACUCGCAUUCACCUUCGCGUUCUUAAUCUAGUUCAUGCUCUCUUUCUCGUUUCACUUCCCGAUCUCGUUCACCUAGACAUGACUGGAUGCAUAAACCUUAUCAAGAUGAACUGAGUGUUAGCUGUGGGCGAUAUAUAUUACUGAUGUAUUGUUGUACUGAUACACUUAUGCUGAAGCUGAAUUUGAGUUGGUAGUGUAAACUACUUUUUCUAUAUUUGUAUUUAUUGUUUUCUGUUGCUUCUGAACUCCCUAAAAGAUAUUUAGCGCGAUAAUUCAAUUAUUUCAGCUCCUUUUAGGAUAAUGUAUCACAUCGGCACUUGUACCUUUUACAUGUUUUACCUAGUGAAUUUUUCGAAGUUGAAAAAGAUUUAACUGUCUCCUUAUAAGGGAAGAAUUGGUUAAAAUUGAAGUUCUAUGAGAGUGCACUUAUGUAAAUCAACGUUCUAUUUUCUUUUCUUUAGAUCUCCGUAACUGAAUCUCGAGUGUCCAUUUACAAUUUGGUUCUAUGUAAUUGAAUCUCGGAAACUGAGUUUAGCUUCGAAAUAAAAAUGGUUAAAGAAGCAGGAGGUGAAUGUCUUUUUCAACUUCUCCAUCUCCCAUAAGUAUAUGAGAAUUGUAU
This is a long non-coding RNA of Capsicum annuum, 1909 nucleotides long. RefSeq lists it as uncharacterized. Lineage: Eukaryota; Viridiplantae; Streptophyta; Magnoliopsida; Solanales; Solanaceae. The record is from RefSeq and is a predicted model, not a curated record. The transcript has 3 exons.